UACGGAGGGUGCAAGCGUUAUCCGGAUUCACUGGGUUUAAAGGGUGCGUAGGUGGGCUAGUAAGUCCGUGGUGAAAUCUCCAAGCUUAACUUGGAAACUGCCGUGGAUACUAUUAGUCUUGAAUAUUGUGGAGGUAAGCGGAAUAUGUCAUGUAGCGGUGGAAUGCUUAGAUAUGACAUAGAACACCGAUAGCGAAGGCAGCUUGCUACACAAUCAUUGACACUGAGGCACGAAAGCGUGGGGAUCAAACAGG
RNAcentral lists this ribosomal RNA (253 nucleotides) under uncultured bacterium. RNAcentral describes it as "partial 16S ribosomal RNA". It matches the Rfam family "Bacterial small subunit ribosomal RNA", at positions 524 to 776 of the family's 1533-position model. The record is from RNAcentral.